UGCCAGCAGCCGCGGUAACACGAACCGGACAAACGUUAUUCGGAAUCACUGGGCUUAAAGAGUACGUAGGCGGCCUGGUAAGUUGGGUGUGAAAUCCCACGGCUCAACCGAGGAAUUGCGCUCAAAACUACUAAGCUUGAGGGAGGCAGAGGUAAGCGGAACUAAUGGUGGAGCGGUGAAAUGCGUUGAUAUCAUUAGGAACACCUGAGGCGAAAGCAGCUUACUGGGUCUCUUCUGACGCUGAGGCACGAAAGCUAGGGGAGCGAACGGGAUUAGAUA
This 279-nucleotide ribosomal RNA is filed under the name uncultured bacterium. RNAcentral describes it as "partial 16S ribosomal RNA". It matches the Rfam family "Bacterial small subunit ribosomal RNA", at positions 506 to 784 of the family's 1533-position model. The record is from RNAcentral.